UGUGAACUCGAAGAGUAGGGCGGGACACGUGGUAUCCUGUCUGAAUAUGGGGGGACCAUCCUCCAAGGCUAAAUACUCCUGACUGACCGAUAGUGAACCAGUACCGUGAGGGAAAGGCGAAAAGAACCCCGGCGAGGGGAGUGAAAAAGAACCUGAAACCGUGUACGUACAAGCAGUGGGAGCACCUUCGGGUGUGACUGCGUACCUUUUGUAUAAUGGGUCAGCGACUUAUAUUCUGUAGCAAGGUUAACCGUAUAGGGGAGCCGCAGGGAAACCGAGUCUUAACUGGGCGUUAAGUUGCAGGGUAUAGACCCGAAACCCGGUGAUCUAGCCAUGGGCAGGUUGAAGGUUGGGUAACACUAACUGGAGGACCGAACCGACUAAUGUUGAAAAAUUAGCGGAUGACUUGUGGCUGGGGGUGAAAGGCCAAUCAAACCGGGAGAUAGCUGGUUCUCCCCGAAAGCUAUUUAGGUAGCGCCUCGUGAACUCAUCUUCGGGGGUAGAGCACUGUUUCGGCUAGGGGGUCAUCCCGACUUACCAACCCGAUGCAAACUACGAAUACCGAAGAAUGUUAUCACGGGAGACACACGGCGGGUGCUAACGUCCGUCGUGAAGAGGGAAACAACCCAGACCGCCAGCUAAGGUCCCAAAGUCAUGGUUAAGUGGGAAACGAUGUGGGAAGGCACAGACAGCCAGGAUGUUGGCUUAGAAGCAGCCAUCAUUUAAAGAAAGCGUAAUAGCUCACUGGUCGAGUCGGCCUGCGCGGAAGAUGUAACGGGGCUAAACCAUGCACCGAAGCUGCGGCAGCGACACUAUGUGUUGUUGGGUAGGGGAGCGUUCUGUAAGCCUGCGAAGGUGACCUGUGAGGGUUGCUGGAGGUAUCAGAAGUGCGAAUGCUGACAUAAGUAACGAUAAAGCGGGUGAAAAGCCCGCUCGCCGGAAGACCAAGGGUUCCUGUCCAACGUUAAUCGGGGCAGGGUGAGUCGACCCCUAAGGCGAGGCCGAAAGGCGUAGUCGAUGGGAAACAGGUUAAUAUUCCUGUACUUGGUGUUACUGCGAAGGGGGGACGGAGAAGGCUAUGUUAGCCGGGCGACGGUUGUCCCGGUUUAAGCAUGUAGGCGGAGGUUCCAGGUAAAUCCGGUACCUUUUAACGCUGAGGUGUGAUGACGAGGCACUACGGUGCUGAAGUAACAAAUGCCCUGCUUCCAGGAAAAGCCUCUAAGCAUCAGGUAACAUCAAAUCGUACCCCAAACCGACACAGGUGGUCAGGUAGAGAAUACCAAGGCGCUUGAGAGAACUCGGGUGAAGGAACUAGGCAAAAUGGUGCCGUAACUUCGGGAGAAGGCACGCUGGUGUGUAGGUGAAGUCCCUGCGGAUGGAGCUGAGACCAGUCGAAGAUACCAGCUGGCUGCAACUGUUUAUUAAAAACACAGCACUGUGCAAACACGAAAGUGGACGUAUACGGUGUGACGCCUGCCCGGUGCCGGAAGGUUAAUUGAUGGGGUUAUCCGUAAGGAGAAGCUCUUGAUCGAAGCCCCGGUAAACGGCGGCCGUAACUAUAACGGUCCUAAGGUAGCGAAAUUCCUUGUCGGGUAAGUUCCGACCUGCACGAAUGGCGUAAUGAUGGCCAGGCUGUCUCCACCCGAGACUCAGUGAAAUUGAACUCGCUGUGAAGAUGCAGUGUACCCGCGGCAAGACGGAAAGACCCCGUGAACCUUUACUAUAGCUUGACACUGAACAUUGAGCCUUGAUGUGUAGGAUAGGUGGGAGGCUUUGAAGCGUGGACGCCAGUCUGCGUGGAGCCAACCUUGAAAUACCACCCUUUAAUGUUUGAUGUUCUAACGUUGGCCCCUUACCGGGGUUGCGGACAGUGUCUGGUGGGUAGUUUGACUGGGGCGGUCUCCUCCCAAAGCGUAACGGAGGAGCACGAAGGUUAGCUAAUCCUGGUCGGACAUCAGGAGGUUAGUGCAAUGGCAUAAGCUAGCUUGACUGCGAGCGUGACGGCGCGAGCAGGUGCGAAAGCAGGUCAUAGUGAUCCGGUGGUUCUGAAUGGAAGGGCCAUCGCUCAACGGAUAAAAGGUACUCCGGGGAUAACAGGCUGAUACCGCCCAAGAGUUCAUAUCGACGGCGGUGUUUGGCACCUCGAUGUCGGCUCAUCACAUCCUGGGGCUGAAGUAGGUCCCAAGGGUAUGGCUGUUCGCCAUUUAAAGUGGUACGCGAGCUGGGUUUAGAACGUCGUGAGACAGUUCGGUCCCUAUCUGCCGUGGGCGCUGGAGAAUUGAGGGGGGCUGCUCCUAGUACGAGAGGACCGGAGUGGACGCAUCACUGGUGUUCGGGUUGUCAUGCCAAUGGCACUGCCCGGUAGCUAAAUGCGGAAGAGAUAAGUGCUGAAAGCAUCUAAGCACGAAACUUGCCCCGAGAUGAGUUCUCCCUGAGACUUUAAGUCUCCUGAAGGAACGUU
RNAcentral lists this ribosomal RNA (2461 nucleotides) under Klebsiella pneumoniae. RNAcentral describes it as "bacterial LSU rRNA". It matches the Rfam family "Bacterial large subunit ribosomal RNA", at positions 398 to 2839 of the family's 2925-position model. Lineage: Bacteria; Pseudomonadati; Pseudomonadota; Gammaproteobacteria; Enterobacterales; Enterobacteriaceae. The record is from RNAcentral.